Long non-coding RNA from Rattus rattus (black rat), 1249 nucleotides. RefSeq lists it as uncharacterized. The record is from RefSeq and is a predicted model, not a curated record. Lineage: Eukaryota; Metazoa; Chordata; Mammalia; Rodentia; Muridae. The transcript has 3 exons.
AAAACUUAGAAAUUAUCCCUGUUCUACCUAAAAAGCAGACAUGAGAAUGCUCAAAGCAUCAGCACUAUAGCAGAACUCACCAUAGGAGUUUCUGCUGCCAGAAACAUAUCUAUGUUAUCUGACCUAGACAGACUGAUCUUGUUGUGAGAGAGUGAGGAGAACUAGCAGAUGAAACGACCAAAGUAUCCUACUCAUCCCCAGAGAACUGUGACUUCAGGAAAUGACUGGAAACCAAAGUUGGCCUUUUAAAAAGAUGAGGACUUCUACAGAAAAGUGGCCCAGAUGCUUGGACAUGGUGGCACACCCGUCUACCGCUAGUGCUCUGGAGGAGUACCACAGCAGUUCCUGGCACUUAGUAGGUACUGAAUCAAGGAACCCUGUCUCUAAACAAACAAAUAAGCAAAGGAAAAGGUGAAUCAGAAGAAAAGCUAUAACUCAUACUGGCAAAUGAUUUAGAUAUCUGACAGAAGACGUAGAUGGAAGGACAAUGUACCACAGCCACCAAAACCCAGGAGGGUAAGGUAAGUGAUUGGGAGCACAGAUUCUGGAAGUCUAACAUGCCCACAUGGGCUCAGAGGAGAAGGAGAAACAGCAGAAGCAAUCACCAAAACGUAAGUGAAAGUUGAGAUCUCUGAACUGUGGGGAUGGUAGUUUUCUGGUAAGAAGAGUUGAGUCUGAGACAGGAUUAAGGCUACAAAUCUAACAAAACCAAAUAAAAACACACAACCAGACGUGCUCAGGAAGCUCCUGAACAUUCAGCACAGAUGACACUGAAUUUGCUGCAGGGUCUCCUCUUUCAAUUGCUACACCAUCUUCCCUAACUACCGUCAUUCAUAUUCAACGAUACUGAUGUGGGGGUGCUAAGGACUAGACUUCAUGUCACAGUAUUUCAAACCCCGUUGCCACAAGGCUAACUGUGGCAUCUGAGAACACUGCGCCUCAGCCCUGCACUUCGCUCUCCAUAGUCUUGCUUGCUCAUUCCUUACCAGCACCAAUCCCAAGAACACCACUCGGUGAAACUUCUGCAGGCAAAUUCCCAUUUCAGGAUGCCAAGGAAUCCUGGCUUAUGGUUCUAAGUACAAAGUUUCUGAAAUCCCCAAACCAAACCAAAGCCCAAAACUGCCCCCUAAAUCCCCAUCCCCUAAACCAGUGCUGUUUUCUGAUGGAGACAUGGAAUUAGUGAAUAGGGAAGGGAUGUUAGAUAGGUUUUAUACUUGGGUAUAACUUUGUAAUCUGAAAGGCAUUAAAA